GUUGGAGAACAUCAAUAAUAAUAGCUCUUACAGCAAGAACAAACUGGAUUUGUUGAUGGAUUAUUAUGAUACAAGUAUGAUCAUGACCAUGGACACUUUUUGAACAUUUUUGAAGACCACUUAAAGGAGUGCACAAGCCCAAGUGUAAAGGAGGCCCAAAGCCAUCCUUUUGGUACACUUAAGGUGGUUUUUGGAGCCCAUCUAUGGGAGGGCUCUUUUGUCAUUUCUCUAUUUGUUUGUAAUGUUGUAUAAAUAGAACAAUGUAGGUUUUAUUUACUUAGUUUAUGUUUGAGAUUGUAAGAACACUCAUUUUGUGAGAGAGAGCUCCAAAAUCGAAAUUAGGGCAUAGCAUAAGGGUGGAUUCUCUUGUGUGUUGCAAAGCUUGAUACCUUGGUGCUUGAGAGAUGGACGCCCUCUUGUGUCAUUGUAAAAGUUAGGUGCAUGUUGAGUGUGGUGUUAAGGGUCCAAGAGUUACCAUUCUUAGGUUCUUAAGAUUACAACUUCAUUGUGUCUAACUAUCUAUCUUUGUUUCUUGUUCUAGUUUCGGGUUUCAUUUGUAUUGUUGUAAAACCCGUAGGUUCUAGUUGUUGUGGCCUUGUUGUUCUUCACUGUAUUGUGCUAUUAUAACUUGUUGGUUGGCUGUUUUGAGGUGUUAACACUCGUUGUUCUCUCUAUUCUUGUUAUAAGUAGCGAAUCCGAUAGUGGUCACCAAAAUAGUCUCGGGUUUCCUCAACUUGAGGACUCGAGUUUGAUUUCAUUCCUACGAAGUCAAUCUUGGGUUUGUUACUUAGAAAAUCAAAAAACAAAAAAAUCCAGAAAAGUUGAAAUCUGUCCAUCUUGUUCUUGGCCUAGAUUUGUGUUUGUGUCUAGAUCUUGGACGUAAUUUGUUUUUUUGGAGUGUUUCAAGUGUUGGUUUCUUUCUCACCAACACUAAAAGUGUCCAAAUCUAAGCUUGAACUUGAAGUUGUUGAUGUGAACAGGGGGUGGCCAUGGUUGGUGUUGUUGUUCUAGCCUUGGCCUUGUUGUUGUGGAUUUGUUGAGUUCUUGGAGAAUUGUUGUUGGAUGUUCUUGAUGUUGUUGUUUUGUUCUUGGAGUUCUUCACCACAUUCAUCAUCUUGUUAAGUUUUAAAUUGCAAAAUAGAUCUAAAAAGGUAAAAGACAAAUUUGUAGUACUUGUUGGUGAAUGUCUUGUUCACAUCACUUCAAAGACAUUAACAACCAUUUACCAACAACUUUCCAUGAUUCAAGGACCCAUGUUAUAAGGAGGAAUAUAAGAAAGUCCAAGUCUUGUUUUGAAUUUGAAAAAGAAGCUCCAAGACUACAAUUACCUUCAUUAACCAAAUCCACCAAGUCCAAAUUGUGAAAUGGUCAAGACUUAUGGCAAGUAAAUUUUUGACAAACCCGAGGCCAAUAGUGUACUGCCACGUCGUCAAAUCACUGUUUACACGACCAUUUUAAGCUCAAAAUCUGAUCUUCUAGUUUCGUUUUUGUUGUUUCUUUUGUUGAUUCCAUUACUAACUUACAAGCUAGUACUAGAUUAUAAGUUAGAUUAGUAGUCGUUCUUCGUGUUUAUGAUCUUCAUGUGUCCUUUUGUUAUUGUUUCCUUGAGUCGUUGUAGAGGUUUGGUUCACCUCUCAAGCACGGAAUACAAUCAAGCUUGCCACACUUGUGUGAUUGAGUGAAGAAACCUGAGAGGCAAGAAAAAAAAACUAACGAGAGAGUGUGAGGACCUUUAUUUUACAACUAACUCGUUUAUUGUUCUGCAGGUGUUUUUCUUAGGUACAUUGUGAUGGAGGGAACGACCUCCCAAACCGUGGGCAACAAUGAUACCAAUAUCCUCAUAGCUUCUAUUGAAGGCCUCAACCGCACUUUGGAAAGAAUGCAAGUGAGUUUUGGGAAGUUAGAAACGGAUGUAACAUUGUUGAAAGGAGAUAUAUCUACUAUGAGUGGGAGAUUGGAACGAGUAGAAAGCCAAAGGAGCCGCCCCUCUACUCCUCAAUACUAUUAUCUGUCCUCGAGUGGACAUGAUCAAAACAAUUUUCCUACCAUCUCCCCCGAAAUGUUACACCAAAUGAUCAAUCCACCGAGACAACCACCAAAUGCUUCCCAAAACCGAGAGUUUGAUAGACCAACCUACCCUCCACUUCACCAAGUCCAACAAGAAACACUUGGAACCCAAAUACCAACACCAAACCCAAACCCUCCACUUAACCAAAGGCCUCACAUUCCAAUUCAAGCUCCAUUAGACCAAAGAACUUAUUUUCCACCCAAUCCAAACCCACCUAACCCGAACCAACCAAACCGUGUGGAAGGAUAUGGUGGGGAAGAAUAACAUGGAGGUUAUGGAGUCUAUGCUAAUGCUUACUUGAGGGAAGAAAGAAUGAGGGGUAGACAUGGGGAGCUAGGCCGAGAGGUGAGGGAAGGCCACCAAAACCGAGACUUGGGCAUUACUCCAUCAAAGUUAGUCUCCCAAUCUUUAAGGGUGAGAGUGAUCCCGAAGCGUAUCUUGCUUGGGAGUCUUCGUGUGACAAGAUAUUCCAACUCAAUGACCUCACCGAGGAAAAGAAGAGUUGUUAUGCGAUAGCUCAUUUUGAGAGGUAGGCUAAUACUUGGUGGGAGUAUGUUAAGCGGUUCGAGAAUGAGGUGAUCGGGGGACAACCUCCUCCUUGGUUUCGGUUGAAGAACCUUAUGCGGCAAAGGUACUUGCCCGAGACUUAUAGGCAUGAGCUCCUUGCCAAAUUGUACAAUUUGAGGCAAGGAAGCAAAAGUGUCAUGGCUUACUAUGAUGAAUUUCAACAAUUGAUGUUGAAACUUGACCACCGGGAAGAGCAAGUAAUUCAUGACAUUGUGCGCUUCAAGGUUGGGUUAAACAAGGACAUCUCCACUCGCAUGACGCUUCACAAAUUUGACACCAUAGAAGGCAUCUUCCAAGCGGCUUUAGAGAUGGAGAGGGAGCUUAAAGAGAACUCUUUCGUCGCUGCCCAGCCCGAGAUCCCCAAGGCUGUCCAAAAACAUCCUCCAAGGUAUAAAGGUAAAUUGAAUUUUACUUCCAAUCCCAAGGGGUUUCAAUGCUUCAAGUGUCAAGGGUGGGGGCACAAGGCUAGUGAGUGUCCAAAUCGGAGGAAUGUGAUCCUAAGGGAGGGGAAGUUAUACUACCUAGGAGAGGAAGUGGUGAUUGAAUCUGCUAAGGUUGAUGGCAAGCCUUAAGAUGGAGAGCACGAAGAGGUUGGGAUUCAAGUUGAGGAGGAAGUAGAAGAUGUGUGGCCGUGUGAGAUACCUCUCAAAAAGAGGUGAGGUCGUGAAUUUGUGGGCAAAUUCCUCUCAAGAUAGAGAGGAUGAUACAAGUAUGAUCAUGACCAUGGACACUUUUUGAGCAUUUUUGAAGACCACUUAAAGGAGUGCACAAGCCCAAGUGUAAAGGAGGCCCAAAGCCAUCCUUUUGGUACACUUAAGGGGGUUUUUGGAGCCCAUUUAUGGGAGGGAUGUUUUGUCAUUUCUCUAUUUGUUUGUAAUAUUGUAUAAAUAGAACAAUGUAGGUUUUAUUGCUUGAGAGGUGGAUGCCCUCUUGUGUCAUUGUAAGAGUUAGGUGCGUGUUGAGUAUGGUGUUAAGGGUCCAAGAGUUACCAUUCUUGGGUUCUUAAGAUUACAACUUUAUUGUGUCUAACUAUCUAUCUUUGUUUCUUGUUCUAGUUUCGGGUUUCUCUUGUAUUGUUGUAAAACCCGUAGGUUCUAGUUGUUGUGGCCUUGUUGUUCUUCAUUGUAUUGUGCUAAUAUAACUUGUUGGUUGGCUGUUUUGAGGUGCUAACACUCGUUCUAUCUAUUCUUGUUAUAAGUAGCGAAUCCGAGAGUGGUCACCAAAAUAGUCUCGGGUUUCCUCAACUUGUGGACUAUUUUGAAGUAUAUUUUCUUGUGUUCUUGGUCAUCCUUGUAUCAUAUUGGCUGCUCCUUCCCCAGAUUCCAACAUGCACAGGGCUUGGAACAUGUGUAACAACAUGGUGCUGUCAUGGAUAUUAAACUCCC
RNAcentral lists this long non-coding RNA (4020 nucleotides) under Capsicum annuum. RNAcentral describes it as "long non-coding RNA (CANN_LNC002791)". The record is from RNAcentral. Lineage: Eukaryota; Viridiplantae; Streptophyta; Magnoliopsida; Solanales; Solanaceae.